Molecule: ribosomal RNA, 318 nt
Filed under: uncultured Lachnospiraceae bacterium
Lineage: Bacteria; Bacillati; Bacillota; Clostridia; Lachnospirales; Lachnospiraceae
Description: bacterial SSU rRNA
Rfam family: Bacterial small subunit ribosomal RNA
Source: RNAcentral
GAUGAACGCUGGCGGCGUGCUUAAUACAUGCAAGUCGAACGGAGUUUAGAUGAAACCUAGUGAUUCUAAACUUAGUGGCGGACGGGUGAGUAACGCGUGGGUAACCUGCCCUGUACAGGGGGAUAACGGUUGGAAACUACCGCUAAAACCGCAUAACAUCGGAAUACCGCAUGAUGUUCCGGUCAAAUAUUUAUAGGUACAGGAUGGGCCCGCGUCUGAUUAGCUAGUUGGUGAGGUAACGGCCCACCAAGGCGACAAUUGGUAGCCGAUCUGAGAGGAUGACCGGCCACAUUGGGACUGAGACACGGCCCAAACUCC